GGGUCAGUAGGUUGGUCGUGCCACCGGUACGUACUGGUCUCACUGGUUCCUCCUUCCUGAAGAACCGUAAUGCCAUUAAUUUGGUGUUGCGGGGAAACAGGACUGUUACUUUGAAAAAAUUAGAGUGUUUAAAGCAGGCUAACGCUUGAAUACAUUAGCAUGGAAUAAUGAAAUAGGACGAUCGAUCCUAUUUUGUUGGUUUCUAGGAUUGACGUA
This 216-nucleotide ribosomal RNA is filed under the name Glomeromycotina sp. RNAcentral's name for it is "partial small subunit ribosomal RNA". The stretch from base 47 to 216 matches the Rfam family "Eukaryotic small subunit ribosomal RNA", at positions 693 to 864 of the family's 1831-position model. The record is from RNAcentral. Lineage: Eukaryota; Fungi; Glomeromycota.